RNAcentral lists this ribosomal RNA (500 nucleotides) under uncultured bacterium. Its description in RNAcentral is "partial 16S ribosomal RNA". It matches the Rfam family "Bacterial small subunit ribosomal RNA", at positions 30 to 523 of the family's 1533-position model. The record is from RNAcentral.
AUUGAACGCUGGCGGCAUGCCUUACACAUGCAAGUCGAACGGCAGCACGGGAGCAAUCCUGGUGGCGAGUGGCGAACGGGUGAGUAAAGUAUCGGAACGUGCCCAGUCGUGGGGGAUAACGUAGCGAAAGUUACGCUAAUACCGCAUACGAUCUAUGGAUGAAAGCGGGGGAUCGCAAGACCUCGCGCGAUUGGAGCGGCCGAUAUCAGAUUAGGUAGUUGGUGGGGUAAAGGCUCACCAAGCCGACGAUCUGUAGCUGGUCUGAGAGGACGCCCAGGCACCCUGGGACUGAGACACGGCCCAGACACCUACGGGAGGCAGCAGUGGGGAAUUUUGGACAAUGGGCGCAAGCCUGAUCCAGCCAUGCCGCGUGCAGAAGGAAGGCCUUCGGGUUGUAAACUGCUUUUGUACGAAACGAAAAGGUUUGACUUAAUACGUUGGACUCAUGACGGUACCGUAAGAAUAAGCACCGGCUAACUACGUGCCAGCCGCCGCCGUAC